RNAcentral lists this ribosomal RNA (499 nucleotides) under uncultured Glomeromycotina. Its description in RNAcentral is "partial small subunit ribosomal RNA". It matches the Rfam family "Eukaryotic small subunit ribosomal RNA", at positions 591 to 1091 of the family's 1831-position model. Lineage: Eukaryota; Fungi; Glomeromycota. The record is from RNAcentral.
CCAAUAGCGUAUAUUAAAGUUGUUGCAGUUAAAAAGCUCGUAGUUGAAUUUUGGGUCUGGCCGGGCGGUCCGCCCUCUGGGUGAGCACUGUUCCGACGUCGGGCCUAUCCUUCUGGUGAGUCGGCAUGUCCUUUAUUGGGUGUGUCGGGGAACCAGGACCAUUACCUUGAAAAAAUUAGAGUGUUCAAAGCAGGCGUAUGCUCGGAUACAUUAGCAUGGAAUAAUGAAAUAGGACGCGUGGUGCUAUUUUGUUGGUUUCUAGAACCGCCGUAAUGAUUAAUAGGGAUAGUUGGGGGCAUUAGUAUUCAAUUGUCAGAGGUGAAAUUCUUGGAUUUAUUGAAGACUAACUUCUGCGAAAGCAUUUGCCAAGGAUGUUUUCAUUAAUCAAGAACGAAAGUUAGGGGAUCGAAGACGAUCAGAUACCGUCGUAGUCUUAACCAUAAACUAUGCCGACUAGGAAUCGGGCGAUGUUAUUCUCAUGACUCGCCCGGCGCCUUAU